CUGCACCGAGCGCUCUGGACAGUGGCCCGGGCUGCGGGUUGGGGGCCUGCUGGGCUCCCAGGACGAGGCCGCUGCUCCGGUGACCAUGCGCUGUCCUUUCCACCGACCCGCCUUGUCCAGGACGGCGUGGGACAGGAGGUGGCUCUGCUCCCAGAGCAGCUGGGCAUUUCCCUGUGGCUCCCUGGCCCCCUGCGCUCCCCUCCCAGCCUGGAGAGCCGCAGUCACCUUAGCAGAGGCCCGGUCGGGCCAGCCCUGGAAACCACAGAGGAGGGAACAGCGGUCUGCUGCCGGCCUGUGGACCGCGCCUUGGGAGCGGAACGCCGGCCUGGCUCCCGGGACCUUGGCCAGCCCUUGCUGCCUGCCGUAAAUCAAAGCGUCCUGAAGGGCAUGGGAUCAGGGGAGAGCUCUCCGGGCUCUGGAACCCGAAUACCGUCAUCGCAUGUUUGCUCGCUGAGCUCUGGGCAGCAGGGCUGGCCCGGUUCCGGCGGGUGUAGGCACCAGGCUUUGAGGUCUCCCUGAGCCUGUGGACUCACAGCUGGCCAGCGCUUUCCGCCUUGCACCCAGCCAGCUGGCCGGGCCAGGGCGGGAAGAGCUGGAUUAGCACCUGGAGAAAGCCACGUGCCUCGGAACUCCGCCUCCGAAGUUUCCCC
This 650-nucleotide long non-coding RNA is filed under the name Cavia porcellus (domestic guinea pig). RNAcentral's name for it is "lncRNA (ENSCPOG00000030728.1)". The record is from RNAcentral. Lineage: Eukaryota; Metazoa; Chordata; Mammalia; Rodentia; Caviidae.